This 253-nucleotide ribosomal RNA is filed under the name uncultured bacterium. RNAcentral's name for it is "partial 16S ribosomal RNA". It matches the Rfam family "Bacterial small subunit ribosomal RNA", at positions 524 to 776 of the family's 1533-position model. The record is from RNAcentral.
UACGUAGGUGGCAAGCGUUGUCCGGAUUUAUUGGGCGUAAAGAGCUCGUAGGCGGCUUGUCGCGUCGGCUGUGAAAACCCGCGGCUCAACUGUGGGCGGGCAGCUGAUACGGGCAGGCUGGAGUUCGGUAGGGGAGACUGGAAUUCCUGGUGUAGCGGUGAAAUGCGCAGAUAUCAGGAGGAACACCAAUGGCGAAGGCAGCUCGCUGGGACGUGACUUACGCUGAGACGCGAAAGCGUGGGGAGCAAACAGG